Melopsittacus undulatus (budgerigar) is the source of this 428-nucleotide long non-coding RNA. RefSeq lists it as uncharacterized. The transcript has 3 exons. NCBI's taxonomy places the organism in Eukaryota, Metazoa, Chordata, Aves, Psittaciformes, Psittaculidae. The record is from RefSeq and is a predicted model, not a curated record.
AUAAUAAAAGAGUAUUCUCAAGUUCUUGAUGCUAAGAAAGAUUUUGGUGUAUUUUAAUGCCAGGAGUGUUUAAGAAAAUGUUUAUGAGUGCAUCAGAUCUAGGGGCAGGUGAGGCUGAGAGCUUCCAGCAGGGCUGUGGUUGGUUUCUAAUGCACUGCCUUUACAGUUCUGGGACCUGCUUUUAAAACACUCCCAUCACAGGAUAAAACUUGUCUUGGAGGACUACAAGGAGAUCUUUGAGGCUUUGCCAUUCCCAGACAAGCAGAGAAUUACCGAUAUCUUUGAUACCAUCCCCAUGACUGUCGCUGGUGUGGUGGGUUACCUGGAGUCAUCUUCUCCAUAUCAAACCUUUAUGAAGAGUGACCCUGAAGCCGCGAAAUCCCUUCUCCAAGAGGCAGAAAAGAGGAUGCUGGAGGUGAUGGGAGUUU